UGGGUAACCUGCCUCAAAGAGGGGAAUAGCCUCCCGAAAGGGAGAUUAAUACCGCAUAAUAUGUUUAGGUCGCAUGACUUUAACAUCAAAGGAUUUUCUUUUAAGAAAUUCCACUUUGAGAUGGACCCGCGGCGCAUUAGCUAGUUGGUGAGGUAACGGCUCACCAAGGCAACGAUGCGUAGCCGACCUGAGAGGGUNAUCGGCCACAUUGGAACUGAGACACGGUCCAGACUCCGUAGGAGG
This 243-nucleotide ribosomal RNA is filed under the name uncultured bacterium. Its description in RNAcentral is "partial 16S ribosomal RNA". It matches the Rfam family "Bacterial small subunit ribosomal RNA", at positions 118 to 348 of the family's 1533-position model. The record is from RNAcentral.